AAAAGAGUGACAAGAUUCCCGUCCCAGCACCCACAUCAAGUACCACUUUAUCCUUGAUUAAGAAGGAGUUUUUGUAAAUAACAUUUUGGUAAGUUUUAGUUCUCACCACAUCCUUUAACAUCUCCCUAAGAUGAUAUAUGGGAACUUACUUCAUGAAUACCAAAGUGAGAAUAUGAGUCGAAGUAAUAGUCAGCGCUAGUCUUGUUGCUGCCCACAA
Molecule: unclassified non-coding RNA, 217 nt
Filed under: Hevea brasiliensis (rubber tree)
Lineage: Eukaryota; Viridiplantae; Streptophyta; Magnoliopsida; Malpighiales; Euphorbiaceae
Source: RNAcentral